RNAcentral lists this ribosomal RNA (114 nucleotides) under Sinocyclocheilus rhinocerous. The record is from RNAcentral. Lineage: Eukaryota; Metazoa; Chordata; Actinopteri; Cypriniformes; Cyprinidae.
AGCCACAGUCAUAUCACCCUGCAGCCCAAGACUGGUUGCCCACUAAAGCUAAGCAGGGUUGAGCCUAGUCAGUACCUGGAUGGGAGACCUCCUGGGAAAACUAGGUUGCUGCUA